GCUCACUGCAACCUCUGCCUCCCCGGUUCAAGCAAAUCUUCUGCCUCGGCCACCCAAGUGGCUGGGAUUACAGGUACCCGCUACCACAUCCAGCUAAUUUUUUGUAUCUUUAGUAGAGACGGGGUUUCUCCAUGUUGGUCAGGCUGGUCUCAAACUCCUGACCUCAGGUGAUCCACCCACCUUGGCCUCCCAAAGUACUGGGAUUAGAGGUGUGAGCCACUGCAUCGGGCUCGGGCCUUUUUUUUUUUUUAAAGAGAGAGUUUGCUCUGUCACCCAGGCUGGAGUGCAGGUGGCAUGAUCUCGGCUCACUGCAGCCUCCACCUCCCGGGUUCAAGCAAUUUUCCCACCUCAGCCUCCCAAGUAGCUGGGAUUACAGGCACCCACCACCAUGCCUGACUAAUUUUUGUAUUUUUAGUAGAUACAGGGUUUCACCAUGUUGGCCAGGCUGAUCUCGAACUCCUGAUCCCAGGUGAUCCACCCGCCCCGGCUUCCCAAAGUACUGGGAUUACAGGUGUGAGCCACCGCGCCCGGCCGAGACUCUUUUGAUGUCAGAAAAAAUGCUGAAUGCCAGAAUCUGGGCUCCUGGUGUGUGGGCGGCUCCACAUCGGGCUUUGGCACGAGACUUCCAGGAGGAAUGGUGAGAAUGCAGGGGUGGGCUGCCAGGAGCCUGAGGAGCCCGUCCACAUCUGCCAGGCACCGUCUGUACGAGAGGCCAGCUUCCAGCGUGGCUGAGGUCCCAGGUCCCUCCGUGCCCAGCAAUGCCUGUGUCCCAGACAGCACAGGUUGCUGCCUCCUUCUCACCAGCAGGACCUGCUGAGCAUCUGAGCUGCCUGGGGUGUCACAGGACAAGCCACAGAGAAAGCUGUGAAUUCCUCAUUGGAGGAGGCGAAAGAAACACACUACAAACUACCACGGGGGCCUGGAUUGGAUCUGGACCCAUAAAAGAUGUCACUGGGGACGCCCGUGAAAUUCUCCUGGGUCUGUGGUUCAUGGUGAUGUCAUGCCAAUAUCUGGAUCUGGCCCUGGUUGCGAUGGUCUGCUGUGGUUAAGGGGAGACACGGG
Molecule: long non-coding RNA, 1062 nt
Filed under: Macaca mulatta (Rhesus monkey)
Lineage: Eukaryota; Metazoa; Chordata; Mammalia; Primates; Cercopithecidae
Description: lncRNA (ENSMMUG00000055713.1)
Source: RNAcentral